Molecule: ribosomal RNA, 433 nt
Filed under: uncultured bacterium
Lineage: Bacteria
Description: partial 16S ribosomal RNA
Rfam family: Bacterial small subunit ribosomal RNA
Source: RNAcentral
AACGAACGCUGGCGGCAUGCCUAACACAUGCAAGUCGAACGAGACCUUCGGGUCUAGUGGCGCACGGGUGCGUAACGCGUGGGAACCUGCCUUUAGGUUCGGAAUAACUCAGAGAAAUUUGAGCUAAUACCGGAUGAUGUCUUCGGACCAAAGAUUUAUCGCCUUUAGAUGGGCCCGCGUUGGAUUUGCUAGUUGGUGGGGUAAAGGCCUACCACGGCGACGAUCCAUAGCUGGUCUGAGAGGAUGAUCAGCCACACUGGGACUGAGACACGGCCCAGACUCCUACGGGAGGCAGCAGGGGGGAAUAUUGGAAAAGGGGCGAAAGCCUGAUCCAGCAAUGCCGCGUGAGUGAUGAAGGCCUUAGGGUUGUAAAGCUCUUUUACCCGAGAUGAUAAUGACAGUAUCGGGAGAAUAAGCUCCGGCUAACUCCGUG